AGUGGUUAAGAGAUUGGCUGCUAACCAAAAUAUUGGUAGUUUGAAUCUACCAGCCACUU
RNAcentral lists this transfer RNA (59 nucleotides) under Loxodonta africana (African savanna elephant). It matches the Rfam family "tRNA", at positions 14 to 71 of the family's 71-position model. Rfam says of the family: Transfer RNA (tRNA) molecules are approximately 80 nucleotides in length. Their secondary structure includes four short double-helical elements and three loops (D, anti-codon, and T loops). Further hydrogen bonds mediate the characteristic L-shaped molecular structure. tRNAs have two regions of fundamental functional importance: the anti-codon, which is responsible for specific mRNA codon recognition, and the 3' end, to which the tRNAs corresponding amino acid is attached (by aminoacyl-tRNA synthetases). tRNAs cope with the degeneracy of the genetic code in two manners: having more than one tRNA (with a specific anti-codon) for a particular amino acid; and 'wobble' base-pairing, i.e. permitting non-standard base-pairing at the 3rd anti-codon position. Lineage: Eukaryota; Metazoa; Chordata; Mammalia; Proboscidea; Elephantidae. The record is from Rfam by way of RNAcentral.